AUUAGGAAUCUUGUGCAAUGGGCGACAGCCUGACACAGCGACGCCGCGUGAGGGAGGACGGCCUUCGGGUUGUAAACCUCUUUUGUCGAGGAAGAAACAAAUGACGGUACUCGACGAAUAAGCCCCGGCUAACUCCGUGCCAGCAGCCGCGGUAAUACGGAGGGGGCGAGCGUUGUCCGAAGUUACUGGGCGUAAAGCGCGCGUAGGCGGGGAGGCAAGUCCGCUGUGAAAGCCUGAGGCUCAACCUCAGCGGGUCGGUGGAUACUGCCUCUCUUGAAGGCGUUAGGGGGAGAUGGAAUUACCGGUGUAGCGGUGAAAUGCGUAGAUAUCGGUAGGAACACCAGUGGCGAAGGCGGUCUCCUGGGACGUUCUUGACGCUGAGGCGCGAAAGCUGGGGGAGCGAACGGG
This 408-nucleotide ribosomal RNA is filed under the name uncultured bacterium. RNAcentral describes it as "bacterial SSU rRNA". It matches the Rfam family "Bacterial small subunit ribosomal RNA", at positions 354 to 776 of the family's 1533-position model. The record is from RNAcentral.